CAACCUAAGAGUUUGAUCCUGGCUCAGAACGAACGCUGGCGGCAGGCCUAACACAUGCAAGUCGAACGUGAAGCCGCCCUUCGGGGCGGUGGAAAGUGGCGCACGGGUGAGUAACGCGUGGGAACCAACCCUGAGGUACGGAAUAACGGCUGGAAACGGCUGCUAAUACCGUAUGUGCCCUACGGGGGAAAGAUUUAUCGCCUUGGGACGGGCCCGCGUCGGAUUAGCUUGUUGGUGGGGUAACGGCCCACCAAGGCUCCGAUCCGUAGCUGGUCUGAGAGGAUGAUCAGCCACACUGGAACUGAGACACGGUCCAGACUCCUACGGGAGGCAGCAGUGGGGAAU
This 345-nucleotide ribosomal RNA is filed under the name Rhodospirillaceae bacterium. Its description in RNAcentral is "bacterial SSU rRNA". It matches the Rfam family "Bacterial small subunit ribosomal RNA", at positions 1 to 362 of the family's 1533-position model. Lineage: Bacteria; Pseudomonadati; Pseudomonadota; Alphaproteobacteria; Rhodospirillales; Rhodospirillaceae. The record is from RNAcentral.